CCUACGGGUGGCUGCAGUGGGGAAUAUUGCACAAUGGGCGCAAGCCUGAUGCAGCCAUGCCGCGUGUGUGAAGAAGGCCUUCGGGUUGUAAAGCACUUUCAGCGGGGAGGAAGGCGUUAAGGUUAAUAACCUUGGCGAUUGACGUUACCCGCAGAAGAAGCACCGGCUAACUCCGUGCCAGCAGCCGCGGUAAUACGGAGGGUGCAAGCGUUAAUCGGAAUUACUGGGCGUAAAGCGCACGCAGGCGGUCUGUCAAGUCGGAUGUGAAAUCCCUGGGCUCAACCUGGGAACUGCAUUCGAAACUGGCAGGCUAGAGUCUUGUAGAGGGGGGUAGAAUUCCAGGUGUAGCGGUGAAAUGCGUAGAGAUCUGGAGGAAUACCGGUGGCGAAGGCGGCCCCCUGGACAAAGACUGACGCUCAGGUGCGAAAGCGUGGGGAGCAAACAGGAUUAGAUACCCCAGUAGUC
Molecule: ribosomal RNA, 465 nt
Filed under: uncultured Klebsiella sp.
Lineage: Bacteria; Pseudomonadati; Pseudomonadota; Gammaproteobacteria; Enterobacterales; Enterobacteriaceae
Description: bacterial SSU rRNA
Rfam family: Bacterial small subunit ribosomal RNA
Source: RNAcentral